Molecule: long non-coding RNA, 235 nt
Organism: Aethalodelphis obliquidens (Pacific white-sided dolphin)
Lineage: Eukaryota; Metazoa; Chordata; Mammalia; Artiodactyla; Delphinidae
Exons: 3
Source: RefSeq, a predicted model, not a curated record
GUGAACCACAGCCACCCCCUGCCUCUGCAGGAGACACUCCAACACUAGCAGCCCUGCCUGAAAUUUCAUGCAUCCUUUGAGUGGUUAUACAGGUUGGUGGCCAAGUUUCCAAGCUCUGGAGCCAGGCUGCAGAAGUUCAAAUCCUGGAUUCAUAUCUCGAUACUUCACAGCAGGUGACUGGAUUGAGGCUAUGGCAGGAGACGAGGGGAAGAUGGCAGAAGAGUAAGACAUAGAG